AUAAAUGUACUAUAUACAUAUAUGUAUAUGUGUGAGUACGAUUUUUUCUACGAACGUAGUCAAACGCAACGGAAUGUUGGGACAUAAAAAAUCGGACGAAGAUCGAUUGUAUUUCCAUUGACAGACGAAAUGCCGCUGUUCAAAGUGAUACUGUCAAUUAGGUUGUUAAUUUAUUUGAAAGUAAACUGCAUUAUUCAAUAAGUAAUCAUGAAAAUUGAACAAAAUACUCCAGCACGGACACGAGAACAUAUCAUAUGUAUGUAUGUUUUUGUGUGUUUUGUAGUGUUGACAAAGCCAAUAAAUAAUGGAAAAUUGUGAAAUUGCGUUUAAAAUGAUUUCGAGUAUCUUUUCCGGCGCUGACGUAGCGCCAACUAAUUGCAGCAAAUAUGGUGUAAUGUGUCAUCACUGCGCUCACGUGGUAAAAACUAUCUCAAAUAGAUGAGUACAAAGCAAGUUGACAUAACAAACGCUGCGGCGGUGAUAAUGAAAUGUCAACAGUGGUUGUGAUUAAUAGAUAAUGCAUAAUACAGAAACCGUUUUUUAUUCGAAUAGGCAUGUUGGAGGCGCAACGCUGCGGACAACUCGAAAACUAAGUAUAAUAAUAAUAGCAAGAAAAGGGUGUUGGUGUCUCUGACAGGAAGUGGUAAGCAGCCAGCAAAGAAAGCGGAUCGUGCGACCAGGCAUUUGCGAAGGAAAAGUCAAACAUUUGGGCGCCUUUGGCAGGAAUGUGAAUUAAUUUCGCCAACUGUUUGACUUAUUGUUAACAAGGGCAACCACACAAACACACGCCUGAAUUGAGGGUAGCCGAGUGAAAUAUGAGAAAUUUGUAAUGAAUUAUGAACAAACGCACAAGCACUUAUGAAGCAAUGCUGAUUAAUCCAGAUAAGUCCAGAUGUUGAUAAUUUUUCAAUAAAAACGCUAUGAAACAA
Bactrocera tryoni is the source of this 929-nucleotide long non-coding RNA. RefSeq lists it as uncharacterized. The transcript has 2 exons. The record is from RefSeq and is a predicted model, not a curated record. NCBI's taxonomy places the organism in Eukaryota, Metazoa, Arthropoda, Insecta, Diptera, Tephritidae.